RNAcentral lists this ribosomal RNA (610 nucleotides) under Glomus sp. MS. RNAcentral's name for it is "SSU rRNA". It matches the Rfam family "Eukaryotic small subunit ribosomal RNA", at positions 644 to 1255 of the family's 1831-position model. The record is from RNAcentral. Lineage: Eukaryota; Fungi; Glomeromycota; Glomeromycetes; Glomerales; Glomeraceae.
GGGUCAGUAGGUUGGUCGUGCCAAUGGUGUGUACUGGCUUUACUGAUUCCUCCUUCUUGAAGAACUGUAAUGUCAUUAAUUUGGUGUUGCAGGGAAACAGGACUGUUACUUUGAAAAAAUUAGAGUGUUUAAAGCAGGCUAACGCUUGAAUACAUUAGCAUGGAAUAAUGAAAUAGGACGUUCGAUCCUAUUUUGUUGGUUUCUAGGAUUGACAUAAUGAUUAAUAGGGAUAGUUGGGGGCAUUAGUAUUCAAUUGUCAGAGGUGAAAUUCUUGGAUUUAUUGAAGACUAACUACUGCGAAAGCAUUUGCCAAGGAUGUUUUCAUUAAUCAAGAACGAAAGUUAGGGGAUCGAAGACGAUCAGAUACCGUCGUAGUCUUAACCAUAAACUAUGCCGACUAGGGAUCGGAUGAUGUUAAUUUUUUAAUGACUCAUUCGGCGCCUUACGGGAAACCAAAGUGUUUGGGUUCCGGGGGGAGUAUGGUCGCAAGGCUGAAACUUAAAGGAAUUGACGGAAGGGCACCACCAGGGGUGGAGCCUGCGGCUUAAUUUGACUCAACACGGGAAAACUCACCAGGUCCAGACAUAGUUAGGAUUGACAGAUUGAGAGC